AUAGGAGAAGGAGAUCUGCGUCGUCGCACUGGUGAAGGUGACCAACGUCGUCGCAUGGGAGAAGGUGAUCUUCGUCUCCGCAUGGGAGAAGGUGAUCUUCGUCGUCGCACGGGAGAAGGUGAUCUUUGUCGUCGCAUAGGAGAAGGUGAUCUUUGUCGUCGCGCGGGAGAAGGUGACCUCCGUCGUCGAAAAGGUGAACUUCUACGGACUGGAGAAUGCAUUCUACGUCGUAUAGGAGAAGGAGAUCUAUAACUUGAGCGAGAUAUGGAUCUUCUCCUCAAAUAAAGUGGCCUCCUAUGAGGAGAACGUCGUGGUGAAU
RNAcentral lists this long non-coding RNA (319 nucleotides) under Phaseolus vulgaris (common bean). RNAcentral describes it as "long non-coding RNA (PVUL_LNC000084)". The record is from RNAcentral. Lineage: Eukaryota; Viridiplantae; Streptophyta; Magnoliopsida; Fabales; Fabaceae.